RNAcentral lists this ribosomal RNA (548 nucleotides) under uncultured bacterium. RNAcentral describes it as "bacterial SSU rRNA". It matches the Rfam family "Bacterial small subunit ribosomal RNA", at positions 355 to 896 of the family's 1533-position model. The record is from RNAcentral.
UAGGGAAUCUUCGGCAAUGGACGGAAGUCUGACCGAGCAACGCCGCGUGAGUGAAGAAGGUUUUCGGAUCGUAAAGCUCUGUUGUAAGAGAAGAACGAGUGUGAGAGUGGAAAGUUCACACUGUGACGGUAUCUUACCAGAAAGGGACGGCUAACUACGUGCCAGCAGCCGCGGUAAUACGUAGGUCCCGAGCGUUGUCCGGAUUUAUUGGGCGUAAAGCGAGCGCAGGCGGUUAGAUAAGUCUGAAGUUAAAGGCUGUGGCUUAACCAUAGUACGCUUUGGAAACUGUUUAACUUGAGUGCAAGAGGGGAGAGUGGAAUUCCAUGUGUAGCGGUGAAAUGCGUAGAUAUAUGGAGGAACACCGGUGGCGAAAGCGGCUCUCUGGCUUGUAACUGACGCUGAGGCUCGAAAGCGUGGGGAGCAAACAGGAUUAGAUACCCUGGUAGUCCACGCCGUAAACGAUGAGUGCUAAGUGUUGGUCUCAUAAGAGAUCAGUGCUGCAGCUAACGCAUUAAGCACUCCGCCUGGGGAGUACGACCGCAAGGUUG